GAUGAACGCUGGCGGCGUGCCUAAUACAUGCAAGUCGAGCGAACAGACGAGGAGCUUACUCCUCUGACGUUAGCGGCGGACGGGGGAGUAACACGUGGAUAACCUACCUAUAAGACUGGGAUAACUUCGGGAAACCGGAGCUAAUACCGGAUAACAUGUUGAACCGCAUGGUUCAACAGUGAAAGACGGUCUUGCUGUCACUUAUAGAUGGAUCCGCGUCGCAUUAGCUAGUUGGUAAGGUAACGGCUUACCAAGGCAACGAUGCGUAGCCGACCUGAGAGGGUGAUCGGCCACACUGGAACUGAGACACGGUCCAGACUCCUACGGGAGGCAGCAGUAGGGAAUCUUCCGCAAUGGGCGAAAGCCUGACGGAGCAACGCCGCGUGAGUGAAGAAGGUCUUCGGAUCGUAAAACUCUGUUAUUAGGGAAGAACAAAUGUGUAAGUAACUAUGCACGUCUUGACGGUACCUAAUCAGAAAGCCACGGCUAACUACGUG
RNAcentral lists this ribosomal RNA (497 nucleotides) under uncultured bacterium. Its description in RNAcentral is "partial 16S ribosomal RNA". It matches the Rfam family "Bacterial small subunit ribosomal RNA", at positions 28 to 507 of the family's 1533-position model. The record is from RNAcentral.